CAACCUGCCUUACACUCUUGGACAGCCUUCUGAAAGGGAGAUUAAUACAAGAUGUUAUCAUGAGUAAGCAUUUUCGCAUGAUUAAAGGUUUACCGGUGUAAGAUGGGGAUGCGUUCCAUUAGAUAGUAGGCGGGGUAACGGCCCACCUAGUCUUCGAUGGAUAGGGGUUCUGAGAGGAAGGUCCCCCACAUUGGAACUGAGACACGGUCCAAACUCCUACGGGAGGCAGCAGUGAGGAAUAUUGGUCAAUGGACGAGAGUCUGAACCAGCCAAGUAGCGUGAAGGAUGAAGGUUCUAUGGAUUGUAAACUUCUUUUAUACGGGAAUAAACGGAUCCACGUGUGGAUUUUUGCAUGUACCGUAUGAAUAAGGAUCGGCUAACUCCGUGCCAGCAGCCGCGGUAAUACGGAGGAUCCGAGCGUUAUCCGGAUUUAUUGGGUUUAAAGGGAGCGUAGAUGGGUUGUUAAGUCAGUUGUGAAAGUUUGCGGCUCAACCGUAAAAUUGCAAUUGAUACUGGCAGUCUUGAGUACAGUUGAGGUAGGCGGAAUUCGAGGUGUAGCGGUGAAAUGCUUAGAUAUCACGAAGAACUCCGAUUG
This 595-nucleotide ribosomal RNA is filed under the name uncultured Bacteroidota bacterium. Its description in RNAcentral is "bacterial SSU rRNA". It matches the Rfam family "Bacterial small subunit ribosomal RNA", at positions 122 to 715 of the family's 1533-position model. The record is from RNAcentral. Lineage: Bacteria; Pseudomonadati; Bacteroidota.